AACGUAGGAGACAAACGUUAUCCGGAGUUACUGGGCGUAAAGGGCGUGUAGGUGGUUACGUAAGUCUGGCGUGAAAUUUCUCGGCUUAACCGAGGCAGGUCGUCGGAUACUGCGAGACUAGAGGACGGUAGAGGCGUGUGGAAUUCCGGGUGUAGUGGUGAAAUGCGUAGAGAUCCGGAGGAACACCAGUGGCGAAGGCGACACGCUGGGCCGUACCUGACACUGAGGCGCGAUAGCAUGGGGAGCAAACAGGG
This 254-nucleotide ribosomal RNA is filed under the name uncultured bacterium. Its description in RNAcentral is "partial 16S ribosomal RNA". It matches the Rfam family "Bacterial small subunit ribosomal RNA", at positions 524 to 777 of the family's 1533-position model. The record is from RNAcentral.